Zalophus californianus (California sea lion) is the source of this 467-nucleotide long non-coding RNA. RefSeq lists it as uncharacterized. NCBI's taxonomy places the organism in Eukaryota, Metazoa, Chordata, Mammalia, Carnivora, Otariidae. The record is from RefSeq and is a predicted model, not a curated record. The transcript is spliced from 3 exons.
UUAGGGGCAGCCUCGGCGGGGAAGGGGGGGGCAGUGACCUCCUUUCCCUUCGCUUAAGCAAGACCGACCUUGAAUUUUCCUCAGAAGGAACUUUUGUGAGAAGCCGUAAGGAGCCAGUCUGCAGCUAAUUCACACCUCCCAGAAUGCACAAGCCUCCUUGCAGCUCCUUGCUGGAAAAGCCACCAAUCUUGUGACAGCCCCAGGACACCUCUCUCCACAACCCUGCUUUGUGUCCUAAAUGCAAGCCCAUCACACUUCUCAGCUGUUCCUACCACCAAGCUUUGUGCACACGGGGCCCAUGGUCAGGACGUCCCGCGAUCUGCUCUUCCACUUGAUAAAAAGUCAAAGAACCUUCAGGAUCUUUCUCCUCAACUAUUGAAAAAGUCUACAGUUACAACCCAGCCGGCCGAAGAGAAAUUAGAUUUCAUUCCAUCAGGCUUCAGUGGCUAUCAGGUAGGAUCAGCGGG